This 112-nucleotide ribosomal RNA is filed under the name Stenotrophomonas sp. CFBP 13718. Lineage: Bacteria; Pseudomonadati; Pseudomonadota; Gammaproteobacteria; Lysobacterales; Lysobacteraceae. The record is from RNAcentral.
CCUGGUGAAAUUAGCGCUAUGGAACCACCCGAUCCCAUCCCGAACUCGGAAGUGAAACGUAGCUGCGCCGAUGGUAGUGUGGCUCAAGCCAUGCGAGAGUANGCGGUAGGGA